Molecule: non-coding RNA, 111 nt
Filed under: Clostridiales bacterium
Lineage: Bacteria; Bacillati; Bacillota; Clostridia; Eubacteriales
Description: Glycine sequence
Rfam family: Glycine riboswitch aptamer
About the family: This family represents the bacterial glycine riboswitch. Glycine riboswitches usually consist of two metabolite-binding aptamers domains with similar structures in tandem. The aptamers cooperatively bind glycine to regulate the expression of downstream genes.
Source: RNAcentral
UUGAUGGAUUCGGGAGAGACUGUCCGGGGCUGGGAAUGAAUUUCCUAUUGUUUUGGGACAGCGCCGAAGGGGAAGCGGAGAACUCUCAGGCAAAAGGACCGGAUACCGGAC